Molecule: ribosomal RNA, 498 nt
Filed under: uncultured bacterium
Lineage: Bacteria
Description: partial 16S ribosomal RNA
Rfam family: Bacterial small subunit ribosomal RNA
Source: RNAcentral
GACGAACGCUGGCGGCGUGCCUAAUACAUGCAAGUCGAACGAGAGCAACCGGUGCUUGCACUGGUCAAUCUAGUGGCGAACGGGUGAGUAACACGUGGGUAACCUGCCCAUCAGAGGGGGAUAACAUCCGGAAACGGAUGCUAAAACCGCAUAGGUCUUCGAACCGCAUGGUUUGAAGAGGAAAAGAGGCGCGAGCUUCUGCUGAUGGAUUGACCCGCGGUGCAUUAGCUAGUUGGUGAGGUAACGGCCCCCCAAGGCCGUGAUGCAUAGCCGACCUGAGGGGGUGAUCGGCCACAUUGGGACGGAGACACGGCCCAAACUCCUACGGGGGGAAGCAGUAGGGAAUCUUGCGCAAUGGACGCAAGUCUGACGGGGCAACGCCGCGGGAGUGAAGAAGGUUUUCGGAUCGUAAAACUCUGUUGUUAGAGAAGAACAAGUGCUAGAGUAACUGUUAGCGAAUUGACGGUAUCUAACCAGAAAGCCACGGCUAACUACGUG